Molecule: ribosomal RNA, 393 nt
Filed under: uncultured bacterium
Lineage: Bacteria
Description: bacterial SSU rRNA
Rfam family: Bacterial small subunit ribosomal RNA
Source: RNAcentral
AUUGAACGCUGGCGGCAGGCCUAACACAUGCAAGUCGAGCGUGAAAGGGCUUCGGCCUGAGUAAAGCGGCGGACGGGUGAGUAACGCGUAGGAAUCUACCUGGUAGUGGGGGAUAACGUUCCGAAAGGGACGCUAAUACCGCAUACGUUCCGAGGAAGAAAGCGGGGGAUCGCAAGACCUCGCGCUAUCAGAUGAGCCUGCGUCCGAUUAGCUAGUUGGUGGGGUAAAGGCCUACCAAGGCGACGAUCGGUAACUGGUCUGAGAGGAUGAUCAGUCACACUGGAACUGAGACACGGUCCAGACUCCUACGGGAGGCAGCAGUGGGGAAUAUUGGACAAUGGGCGCAAGCCUGAUCCAGCCAUGCCGCGUGUGUGAAGAAGGCCUCGGUUGUAA